Molecule: ribosomal RNA, 30 nt
Filed under: Aspergillus nidulans
Lineage: Eukaryota; Fungi; Ascomycota; Eurotiomycetes; Eurotiales; Aspergillaceae
Description: partial 5.8S ribosomal RNA
Source: RNAcentral
AAGCUCAACAAUGGAUCUCUUGGUUCCGGC